Molecule: long non-coding RNA, 625 nt
Organism: Bombus terrestris (buff-tailed bumblebee)
Lineage: Eukaryota; Metazoa; Arthropoda; Insecta; Hymenoptera; Apidae
Exons: 2
Source: RefSeq, a predicted model, not a curated record
CAGAGAAAUUUUUGCGAGUAAGAAUAAAUUAUACAUCGUUAGAGGCGUGCGGAAUCGUGUCGAGACUUAGCUGAAACAAGUAAAGUUAUACACGCUGAUAGGAAAUACUGAGGAGGUAUUUUAAAUUGAGUGAAGACCAGGAUGACACAAACAAAAUGAUAAAACUUUAAUUUUCUUCAGUGUCUGAUAAAAAAGCGAAUGGUAUGUGUCAGUAUCUUUUGCAGCAACCGUGCAAGGUGAUUCAUAAAUGUAUGUCCAUACUUCAGGUGAUGAAUCUACACAUUAAAAUAAAUUUUUAAAAAAAGGGCGUAUGAACGUAUGUCCUAUGUAAGUACUUUUAGUUUUCGAGAUAUGGAUUCCUCAUGUUUUAACAUACGUUACUGCACUUUUACCUUUCAGCAUCUAGAAAAUUGUAACGAGCUAGCUAGAAUAGAAUACUGGCUACCUAAAAUUUUAUUUUAUUUAUAUCAAUUGAUAUUGUUUCGCACAUGUUGCACUCUGGCUGAACAGCUUGCAAGUUGGUUACAAUAUAAACUUUGAAUUUACUCACAAGACAACUAACAAAGUUAACUUCGACGAAUAUGUUAUCUGUUUUGCUUUUAUAAUAAACAACAGAUUUACUGGA